RNAcentral lists this unclassified non-coding RNA (379 nucleotides) under uncultured Oligoflexales bacterium. Its description in RNAcentral is "contains 16S-23S intergenic spacer region". The record is from RNAcentral. Lineage: Bacteria; Pseudomonadati; Bdellovibrionota; Oligoflexia; Oligoflexales.
UCCGUGUUAACCACGGCAGUCUCCCUAGAGAGCCCAACUUAAUGCUGGCAACUAAGGACAAGGGUUGCGCUCGUUGCGGGACUUAACCCAACAGGUCACCCCACGAGCUGACGACAGCCAUGCAGCACCUGUCUUGUUGUUGGAUUUCUCCAAAAGCCGUAUCUCUACGGAUGUCAACAGAUGUCAAACCCAGGUAAGGUUUUUCGCGUUGCUUCGAAUUAAACCACAUGAUCCACCGCUUGUGCGGGCCCCCGUCAAUUCCUUUGAGUUUUAGUCUUGCGACCGUACUUCCCAGGCGGGAUACUUAUUGCGUUAGCUCCGGUUCGGCGGGGGUCAAGACCCACCAAACCUAGUAUCCAUCGUUUACAGCGUGGACUAC